CGCAGGAAAAGAAACUAACCAGGAUUCCCUUAGUAGCGGCGAGCGAAGCGGGAAGAGCCCAACAUGAAAAGCCUUUCGGGGCGAUGUAUUGAUAGAGCGUCCUUGAGGUGUCAAUUCAGGUAAGUGUGCAUGAAAAUGCCCGCCGCGGAGGGUUAGAGCCCCGUCCAGCCUGGAUUCGUAGCUUCGUACACGGAUCGUUUCUAAUGAGUCGGGUAGCUUGAGAAUGCUGCCCUAAUAUAGGUGAUAAAUCUCAUCUAAGGCUAAAUACUGGUGGGAGACCGAUAGCGAACAAGUACCGUGAGGGAAAGUUUAAAAGCACUUUGGAAAGAGGGUGAAAAGAACCUGAAACCGUUACGAAGGAAGCGAAUUGCGUUGUCAGGGUGCAUUGUCGAGUAAUGUUCAGCCGUUCUGGUGUAGUGAUUGCUUUUGACGCUGCCGUCGUGGGCUAACAGAUAGGUCAAAGUGAAGAGCUAUCGCAACAUCGUAGCCAUAUGAGUACCCCGCAAGGGGGACGACGGAGGACUGACGCGAUUCGACCCGUCUUGAAACACGGACCAAGGAGUCUAGCAUAUAUGCGAGUCGUAGGGUGAUAAAACCUGAGGGCGCAGUGAAAGCGAAUUGUCGAGAACGGGCAGUUUGAGGCGGCAUGUGAUUGUUAAUUGCAAGUCCGACCUGGAGCAUUUAUGCUAGGACCCGAAAGAUGGUGAACUAUACUGGCGUAGGGCGAAGCCAGAGGAAACUCUGGUGGAGGCUCGAAGCGCUGCUGACGUGCAAAUCGCUCGUCGAACGUGAGUAUAGGGGCGAAAGACUAAUCGAACCAUCUAGUAGCUGGUUUCCUCCGAAGUUUCUCUCAGGAUAGCGGGUCGAGGGGUGUUGCUAUGUGCGGUAAAGCCAAUGAUUAGCGUACUGUGGGGAUACUCUUGUCCCCUGACGAUUCUCAAACUUUAAAUGCGCACGGUCGUUGCUGCUUAAUUGAGUGACGAUAGUUAGAACCUCGACUUUGUGGGCCACUUUUGGUAAGCAGAACUGGCGAUACGGGAUGAACCGUAAGUGUGGUUAAGGCGCCAAAUUAUUCGCUUAAUGAUCCCAAAAAAGGUGUUGAUUCAUAUGGACAGCAGGACGGUGGCCAUGGAAGUUGGAAUCCGCUAAGGAGUGUGUAACAACUCACCUGCCGAAUGAAUUAGCCCUGAAAAUGGAUGGCGCUGAAGCGAGUAGCCGACACCACACCGUUUGAUAGAGUUAAUAUUCAAAUGAGUAGGAGGGACGUGGUGGUCGUAACGAAGCAUGCGAGCGAUCGUGUGUGGAACGGCCACUAGUGCAGAUCUUGGUGCUAGUAGCAAAUAUUCAAAUGAGAACCUUGAAGGGCGAAGCGGGGAAGGGUUCCACGCGAACAUUGAUUGAGCGUGGGUAAGUCGUACCUAAGUCAUGUGGCAAUAGCAAAUGUACUGGCGAAAGGGAAGCAGGUUGAUAUUCCUGCACACGGAUGUGGACGCGGUGACGCAUGUUUUGUGGUGAUGACGCUGUCGAUAGCACUGGGCAGAGAUUUCUUUUCUGUUUAACCAAUAUUUGUGUUCUGUGGAAUCCGCUUGUCGGGAGAAACAGGCACAUCUGGGCAGAGCGCCGAGAUUUUUUCGGCGUCCAGUUCGCUGUCGGUGGUCCUUGAAAAAUCAUUCACAGGGUAGAGUAGCUUGACUAUUCUGCUAAUAGACAACUCCACGCCGUUACGUUACCGAUAACCGCAUCAGGUCCCCAAGGUGAACAGCCUCUGUCCGAUAUGAAAAAUGCAGGUAAGGGAAGUCGGCAAAUUAGACCCGUAACUUCGGGAAAAGGGUUGGCUCUAGUGCUGCGCGGAUGUAUGUGACCUCUCUUGGUGUGCUGGGAAGACUGGCUGGUUUGCCGUGUGGAGCAAUCUGCGCGGUGGGCUGGUCGGGACGACUGGUAUUGCUGGAUUGGAUGCUGUCUGCAGAAUGUGGCAAACUAGAACUGCAACGGUCAAAGGGAAUCCGACUGUUUAAUUAAAACAAAGCAUUGCGAGGGCCGUGGCCGGUGUUUACGCAAU
Molecule: ribosomal RNA, 2059 nt
Filed under: Valeriemaya sp. 2TAS
Lineage: Eukaryota; Rhodophyta; Florideophyceae; Ceramiales; Delesseriaceae
Description: eukaryotic LSU rRNA
Rfam family: Eukaryotic large subunit ribosomal RNA
Source: RNAcentral